RNAcentral lists this non-coding RNA (23 nucleotides) under Cricetulus griseus (Chinese hamster). Lineage: Eukaryota; Metazoa; Chordata; Mammalia; Rodentia; Cricetidae. The record is from RNAcentral.
ACCAUGUAGUGACCUGAAUUCAG